Molecule: ribosomal RNA, 474 nt
Filed under: uncultured soil bacterium
Lineage: Bacteria
Description: bacterial SSU rRNA
Rfam family: Bacterial small subunit ribosomal RNA
Source: RNAcentral
AGGACGAACGCUGGCGGCGUGCUUAACACAUGCAAGUCGAACGGUAAGGCCCCUUCGGGGGUACACGAGUGGCGAACGGGUGAGUAACACGUGGGUAAUCUGCCCUGCACUUCGGGAUAAGCCUGGGAAACUGGGUCUAAUACCGGAUAUGAACUCCUGCCGCAUGGUGGGGGUUGGAAAGUUUUUCGGUGCAGGAUGAGCCCGCGGCCUAUCAGCUUGUUGGUGGGGUAAUGGCCUACCAAGGCGACGACGGGUAGCCGGCCUGAGAGGGUGAUCGGCCACACUGGGACUGAGACACGGCCCAGACUCCUACGGGAGCAGCAGUGGGGAAUAUGCACAAUGGGCGAAAGCCUGACGCAGCGACGCCGCGUGGGGGAUGACGGUCUUCGGAUUGUAAACCCCUUUCAGUAGGGACGAAGCGCAAGUGACGGUACCUGCAGAAGAAGCACCGGCUAACUACGUGCCAGCAGCCGC